This is a long non-coding RNA of Gasterosteus aculeatus aculeatus (three-spined stickleback), 4045 nucleotides long. Lineage: Eukaryota; Metazoa; Chordata; Actinopteri; Perciformes; Gasterosteidae. The record is from Ensembl.
GGGGGGGGGGGGUCCUUUUCAGGUCACCACCACUUCCCAUUUCUGCUCAGGUUGCUCAGGAAACACGUGCCCGAACGCGUGGAGGCCUGCUGCUGCCAGCCAGAAGAUACCCGGACCGCAGAGGACGAGUAGUGUGUGUGUGUGUGUGUGUGUGUGUGUGUGUGUGUGUGUGUGUGUGUGUGUGUGUGUGUGUGUGUGUGUGCCACAAUUUAUCUGAGGUUCACUGCACUUCCUCGUGUCUUACAAGGGAACCUUCUGUUACCGGCACGGGACUCCGGCAGAUGGCUGCCGGGACGUUGCUCCUGUAAACAUAAAAACACUGAGAAAACAUGGACAAACAACCGUUUUCAUACUUUGUGGGAUUGUUAAAGUUUCGAAGGGUUUUUCCCUCAUAGCUUGUAAAAAUAACUCAUUUGUUUGGUUACAUUGACUAAAUGUCCUUUUGAUGAGAAGGUGGUGUUGAUUAAACUUACCAUCAAGGCUUGAACAGAUCGUUCAAUAAAGGAAAUAAAAAAAACAUUUCAGAACUUUCCGAUGACUUAAGGAGCAAAAGUUCUGGACGGGGCUUACUGUGAUUGACAGGUCUCCACCACAGUGUUGUGGUGUCUGGGAGUUGUUUGUGUUUUGGUCUGAAACUUUCGCGGCGUGUUUUCAUUUCCGGUAAGUUUAUCGUAACAUUUUGGUUGCCUGAGAUAUUGUGCAUUCAGUUUAUCUCAACUUACCCUACAAACCAAUGGGUGAUGUCACAACGACAUCUUCCGAUAUAAAGUCCACAACCAGACCAAUUUCAAAAUACCACUCCUGAGGGUAGUGCUGUAGAACGUGACCUUUGCUGCUGCCUAGUAUGAGCAAUUACACAUACUGUUUUCCAGCACAUCACAGCGCCGAAGCAGCACCGUUGAGGUCACCAAUGACCUCCUCGGUGCAGCCAAUAUUGGUUACUCCUUUUGCUACACAGUUGCUUUGCAGACAGGACCUUCUUUGUUACUGGUGGCAAUUCAUCCUCCACCCUGGUAUCUCUCACGAGGCGUCCCUCAGGGCUCAACCGCCGGUCCCCUUCUAUUUUCUAUCCAAAAAUGUUUGUUUGGCCAAAUUAUUCAGAACCACAACAUCCCAUUUCACCGCAACCCAUGUGGAACAAAGCUACCGUCCAUUGAUAAUAAAGAAUGGUCACAAUGUGAGACAAACAAAACAAAGGUCACAUAGUCACUCCCAGAAAUAAACUCCUCCAGCAGCUUGCCCAGUCCCUCAACUAAUUAUGCCAUCACAUUGAAUAAUAUUCAACAGUACUUGGCCAAAUAUUUAGCUAUGCAAACGUACAAGAAGGGGUCACAUUCCCCCCCGCACUAAGCAUCUUUGUGGCGGCCCCCAGUUCGGUGUCAGAUUCCUUGCAGCAUUCUGCUGUUUGUGUUUCUAGGCCUGCAUGGUCUUGUCCCGAGCUACAUUUUGAUUCUCAGCUCAGAUCACAUCGCUCAGAUCCACGGCUCAACGGCUGUCCUCCCACAAUCCAGUCCAACACGUUUUGUGAGAAAGGCAUCUAAUGUUGACCUGCUUGCGUGCUCAUGUAAUGACUCUCGAUGUUUGAUAUGCAUACAGAAUUACUUUCUGUACCGUGUCGAUGUUUAAAGAUGUGAAUUAAAUACUUUUGUCAUGCGAUAAGGUUUUGCUUAAUUAUGCUUAUGUAGGUAAUGGUUGCUUCACAAAUGUUGCCCAUAAGCUGCAGCCAGCAGCCAGUUAGCUUAGCUUAGCACAAAAACUAGACCAGGGAGGAAAACUUCUGUCAUAUUGAAAGUGUCAGAUCUUCCCCGGUUUUGAACCCAAACGCAGAUUAAACAAGAUUGGUGGUGACAAGGUGAGUAAAUACACAAAUGUCUCUGAGAUGGCGUCCCAGACAGGUGAGUGCAGGAGGCUUGACGAAGCGAUGGGGUGGAAGGUUCCGGUUGCCAGGCAGGAGUGAAGGGAAAUCCAGGGUGAACGGCAGAGCAAUAGGAAACGGAUGAGCUAACAGGCAAAUGGACUUAAACUAUCGCGGCUGACACGCAAGCACAACAUACGGAAUAUGGCUGACGAUCCGGCAGGGACUGGAUGACAGGUCUCGGCUUAAAUAAUGUUCAGAUGAUCAGGACCAGGUGUGUUGGUGAUUUGGAAAAGGUGGGAACAGGCCCCGGUGAUCCUGGAAGUCCCGCCUUGUACUCGUUGCCCAGCAACUGGAACCGCGGUUACGUUCAGGAACGACACAAAGCACAAAGCAGACACAGACAAACAGGGACAACACUCUGAAGGAGAUGGGAUCGUGACAGGAAGGUCGUAAAAUGUUUUUCCCAGCAUCUGCAAAGCUCACUAAAUAAUAUCUGUUUCAUUUAAUCUGUACAAAAAGCUGCCCCUCCAGGAAGUUGUUGGCCCCGAGCAAAGACUGUGGUCUUAUAACUGUUCUCAGUGUGCGAAGCUCCUAUAGCUCCAGAAAUGAGAGACGCAUUGUUCCUUAUUUCUCAAGCAAAUAAGUGUCCAAAAUAAUUUGGGGAUCUAGUGAGUACGGAAGCGGGAUGAAUUUCUUUCCUUCAUUUCAUUUCAUAAAAAGGCAAUACAGCUUACAGUCACAUGAACAGUCUGACAGAGCUCCUCGUGAGACCCUGUCCAUAUCUCCUGGGACAUUAAUUCAGCUUUAACAUGAGAGCUACCAAAAGUCCACUGGUAGUCAACGUGUUUCAUAGCUUAUAGCCAAAGACAGCGCUGGGGUUCUUGUAUGGAUGUUUGGUGUUCAUCAUAUGUAUAUAUUCUUCAACAUCUGAGACAACCCCCGACCCCGGACUCUGAUGGGACCAUAGAAUGUGGACUCUGAUGGGACCAGAGGGGGUGGACUCUGAUGGGACCAGAGGAGGUGGACUCUGAUGGGACCAGAGAACGUGGACUCUGAUGGACCAGAGAACGUGGACUCUGAUGGGACCAGAGAACGUGGACUCUGAUGGGACCAGAUGAGGUGGACUCUGAUGGGACCAGAGGGGGUGGACUCUGAUGGGACCAGAGGAGGUGGACUCUGAUGGGACCAGAAGGGGUGGACUCUGAUGGGACCAGAUGAGGUGGACUCUGAUGGGACCAGAGGGGGUGGACUCCUCUGUCACAGUUCACAGAAAAAGUUUUCCUCAGAUAUUUGUCGGCCAUAUUUUCAAUUAUCAUUAUUUGCUGUUUACGUUCCUUGUGACGCAAAUAAAAAAUAAUGCACAACAGGAAUCUACCAGUGUGUUUCUUGCCAUGUGUUUUAUCUGCCCCUAAACAUCAUUGUGUCCCCGUUUUGCAUAAUAAGAAUAAAUGACCUGCGUUAUCUGCUUACUUUCAGCUGAAACCAAGUGAAGCGAUAAGGCAACCCUUCAGAAACACAAAAACAAUACUGAGCUUCCUAACCGACCUUGACACAGGAGAUAACAGAAAUGAAAGUAAAGUAAAUGGCAGAAAACCUCAACACCUCUCGUAACUCACAAUCAUAAUGAGAUAUUAUCUCAUAGUUAUGACUAAAGGAUCUUUUUGGCCUUGUACUACUAACCCAUAGCAUUCUUUUUUUAUUUUAUUCCUCUUGCACUGUAUGUCUGACGUAUUAUGGCAAUAAAUGUUUCCUGAUCCUGAGAACAUGCAAAGAGGCAGCAAUUAGUGCAUAAUUCAUGUGCGAGGAAAGCGUGAUAUUGCACCAUACAUCCAUCUUUAUUAUGUGUAAUUUGCGAUUCAUUGUAUUCUAAGUAGUGGGUUUUAAUCAAAGAUACUUUAAUAAGCUAUUGAGCAAUGCAAUGAGCAGGUCACCCCAGGGCCAGGAAUAUAUCUAUAUUAAUAUUUAAAAUAAGCUGAAUAAGAAAUAGGCCCUGGACCGGUUUUAUAAGGAAUGCAGUGUGUGUGUGUGUGUGUGUGUGUGUGUGUGUGUGUGUGUGUGUGUGUGUGUGUGUGUGUGUGUGUGUGUGUGUGUGCAGACCUUUUGUAAGGGUAACAGAGCUGUGAACCACCUCGUGCAGUGCAGGUAAUCAUUAAUCUGACACGUCAUCUCGGGCUUGAUGGCACAUUG